UGACGAGGUUUUGUUGUCUGCUACAGGGAAAGAUGCAACUGAUGAUUUUGAGGAUGUGGGUCAUAGCACGAGUGCUAGAGAAAUGAUGGAUAAAUACUAUGUUGGAGAGAUUGAUCCCUUAACCAUCCCUAAGAAGGCUGCAUAUAAUCCUCCUAAGCAGCGUCACUACAAUCAGGAUAAGACCUCUGAGUUCAUUAUCAA
Molecule: unclassified non-coding RNA, 201 nt
Filed under: Hevea brasiliensis (rubber tree)
Lineage: Eukaryota; Viridiplantae; Streptophyta; Magnoliopsida; Malpighiales; Euphorbiaceae
Source: RNAcentral